This 727-nucleotide ribosomal RNA is filed under the name uncultured Actinomycetes bacterium. RNAcentral's name for it is "bacterial SSU rRNA". It matches the Rfam family "Bacterial small subunit ribosomal RNA", at positions 337 to 1199 of the family's 1533-position model. The record is from RNAcentral. Lineage: Bacteria; Bacillati; Actinomycetota; Actinomycetes.
UCCUACGGGAGGCAGCAGUAAGGAAUAUUGGUCAAUGGGCGCAAGCCUGAACCAGCCAUGCCGCGUGAAGGAUGACGGCCCUAUGGGUUGUAAACUUCUUUUGUACGGGAAAAAACCACAGGUCGUGAAUCUGUGCUGACGGUACCUACAGAAGAAGGUGCGGCCAACUACGUGCCAGCAGCCGCGGUGACACGUAGGCACCAAGCGUUGUCCGGAUUUAUUGGGCGUAAAGAGCUCGUAGGCGGUUUGGUAAGUCGGGUGUGAAAACUCUGGGCUCAACCCAGAGAGGCCACUCGAUACUGCUAUGACUUGAGUACGGUAGGGGAGUGGGGAAUUUCUAGUGUAGCGGUGAAAUGCGCAGAUAUUAGAAGGAACACCAGUGGCGAAGGCGCCACUCUGGGCCGUAACUGACGCUGAGGAGCGAAAGCAUGGGUAGCAAACAGGAUUAGAUACCCUGGUAGUCCAUGCCUUAAACGAUGAAUACUAGACGUUGGGGUUAAACUCAGUGUCGCAGCUAACGCAUUAAGUAUUCCACCUGGGGAGUACGAUCGCAAGGUUGAAACUCAAAGGAAUUGACGGGGGCCCGCACAAGCAGUGGAGCAUGUGGUUCAAUUCGAUGCAACGCGAAGAACCUUACCUAGGCUUGACAUGCUAGCUAAAGCGAAUGAAAGUUCGUGUCCCGCAAGGGGAGCUAGUAAUCGUAUAUCAGCAAUGAUACGAUCCAUAU